UACGUAGAGUGCAAGCGUUGUCCGGAAUUACUGGGCGUAAAGGGCGCGUAGGCGGCGUAACAAGUCACUUGUGAAAUCUCCGGGCUUAACUCGGAGCGGUCAAGUGAUACUGUUGUGCUAGAGUGCGGAAGGGGCUACUGGAAUUCUCGGUGUAGCGGUGAAAUGCGUAGAUAUCGAGAGGAACACCUGCGGCGAAGGCGGGUAGCUGGGCCGACACUGACGCUGAUGCGCGAAAGCCAGGGGAGCGAACGGG
Molecule: ribosomal RNA, 253 nt
Filed under: uncultured bacterium
Lineage: Bacteria
Description: partial 16S ribosomal RNA
Rfam family: Bacterial small subunit ribosomal RNA
Source: RNAcentral